This 497-nucleotide ribosomal RNA is filed under the name uncultured bacterium. RNAcentral's name for it is "partial 16S ribosomal RNA". It matches the Rfam family "Bacterial small subunit ribosomal RNA", at positions 28 to 507 of the family's 1533-position model. The record is from RNAcentral.
GAUGAACGCUGGCGGCGUGCCUAAUACAUGCAAGUCGAGCGAACAGACGAGGAGCUUGCUCCUCUGACGUUAGCCGCGGACGGGUGAGUAACACGUGGAUAACCUACCUAUAAGACUGGGAUAACUUCGGGAAACCGGAGCUAAUACCGGAUAAUAUAUUGAUCCGCAUGGUUCAUUAGUGAAUGACGGUUUUGCUGUUACUUAUAGACGGAUCCGCGCCGCAUUAGCUAGUUGGUAAGGUAACGGCUUACCACGGCAACGAUGCGUAGCCGACCUGAGAGAGUGAUCGGCCACACUAGAACUGAGACACGGACCAGACUCCUACGGGAGGCAGCAGUAGGGAAUCUUCAGCAAUGGGCGGAAGCUUGGCGGAGCAACGGCACGUGAGUGAUGAAGGUCUUCGGAUCGUAAAACUCUGUUAUUAGGGAAGAACGAAUGUGCAAGUAAAUAUGCACGUCUUGACGGUACCUAAUCAGAAAGCCACGGCUAACUACGUG